UACGAAGGGGGCUAGCGUUGUUCGGAAUUACUGGGCGUAAAGCGCGCGCAGGCGGUCCUUCAAGUCAGAGGUGAAAGCCCAGAGCUCAACUCCGGAACUGCCAUUGAAACUGUUAAACUUGAGGACGAGAGAGGUGAGUGGAAUUCCCAGUGUAGAGGUGAAAUUCGUAGAUAUUGGGAAGAACACCAGUGGCGAAGGCGGCUCACUGGCUCGUAUCUGACGCUCAGGCGCGAUAGCGUGGGGAUCAAACAGG
Molecule: ribosomal RNA, 253 nt
Filed under: uncultured bacterium
Lineage: Bacteria
Description: partial 16S ribosomal RNA
Rfam family: Bacterial small subunit ribosomal RNA
Source: RNAcentral